Molecule: long non-coding RNA, 2186 nt
Organism: Anopheles funestus (African malaria mosquito)
Lineage: Eukaryota; Metazoa; Arthropoda; Insecta; Diptera; Culicidae
Exons: 3
Source: RefSeq, a predicted model, not a curated record
ACUCCCAUUUCUCCAGCAUAGUGCUUCGCUUAGCGGUCUCUCUUCCGCAUGUGGCGGAUUAUUCUCUCUUUCAUGCGGAUUAUUUCCCCUCCAUCUGAAUGGAUUACCUUCUACCAUGGAUGCUCCUACUAGCCGGUAUGAAGUAGUAUGGGUGAUCGGUAGUUUCUCAACACUAAGAGAGCUUCCUUCAAAGCAGGUAAAGGUGUUAUCACUCCCAUUUCCCCAGCUUAGUGCCUCAUUUAGCGAUCUCUCUUCCGCAUGUGGCGGAUUAUUCUCUCUUUCAUGCGGAUUAUUUCCCCUCCAGCCGAAUGGGUUACCUUCUUCCGUGGAUGCUCUCUUGGUGUCGAGAAAUCAUUUUUGAUUUUUAAGCCGUCAGCGUUUUCGGAUCGAAAAAUGAUUCUGCAACACCAGUGAGCAUCAAAGGAGGUAGAGGUGUUAUCACUACCAUUUCUCCAGCAUAGUGCUUCGCUUAGCGGUCUCUCUUCCGCAUGUGGCGGAUUAUUCUCUCUUUCAUGCGGAUUAUUUCCCCUCCAUCUGAAUGGAUUACCUUCUACCAUGGAUGCUCCUACUAGCCGGUAUGAAGUAGUAUGGGUGAUCGGUAGUUUCUCAACACUAAGAGAGCUUCCUUCAAAGCAGGUAAAAGGUGUUAUCACUACCAUUUCCCCAGCUUAGUGCCUCAUUUAGCGAUCUCUCUCCCGCAGGUGGCGGUUAUUCUUUCUUUCAUGCGGAUUAUUUCCCCUCCAUCUGAAUGGAUUACCUUCUACCAUGGAUGCUCCUACUAGCCGGUAUGAAGUAGUAUGGGUGAUCGGUAGUUUCUCAACACUAAGAGAGCUUCCUUCAAAGCAGGUAAAGGUGUUAUCACUCCCAUUUCCCCAGCUUAGUGCCUCAUUUAGCGAUCUCUCUUCCGCAUGUGGCGGAUUAUUCUCUCUUUCAUGCGGAUUAUUUCCCCUCCAGCCGGAUGGGUUACCUUCUUCCGUGGAUGCUCUCUUGGUGUCGAGAAAUCAUUUUUGAUUUUUAAGCCGUCAGCGUUUUCGGAUCGAAAAAUGAUUCUGCAGCACCUACAAAGCAGGUAAGAUCAACUGUCUCUUCCUCCAGCUGAUUUCAGUAUUACCUUUUUCCAUGGAUGCUCUCGUGGUGCUGAAGAAAAAUCAUUCUUCAAAACUAAUACAAAAAUUUAAAAAAAAUCCAAAAAUUUGAAAAUUUCAUAACGCUUAUUUUUGUACCAAGUUUUUUGCCUAUAUCUCGGUCGAUAUCCAACGGAUUGCCAAACUUUAACCUGUGGUCGAUAGAUGGCAACAAUGGCUACAUUUUCUUCUUGGACAGCCAUGCCCUCAGAUGUCUGUGCCAGAAGUUAUUCGAGGAACCAAGUUCCUUACCCUGUUUUUGAACAAUUUAGCAAAAUUGAAAAUUGUGAUAUAUUUUAAUGGGAAUUUGUUGCAAUAUGUUUCUUUUCACUUAAAUAGUGCUUUAAACUAAAAAAAGAAUAAAAAAUCUGAAAAAAAUUUCAAAAAAAUUUUCCACUCGAAAAUUUCAUAAGGCUUACCCCUUACGAUUUUUUUGGGAAAUUUUGCAAAAAAAAUUAAAUUGUUUUAUUUUAAUGCCAAUGGGUUGCAAUGAGUUUCUUUUCACUCUAAUAAUGCUUGAAAUAAAAAAAAGAGUGAAAAAUAAUAAAAAAAAAAUCGAAAAAUUCAAAAAAAAUGAAAAUUUUCCUCAUUUUUGCACCAAAUUUUGUCUAUAACUCGGUCGAUAUCCAACGGAUCGCCAAUCUUUAACCUGUGGUCGGUAGAUGGCACUAAUGGCUACAUUUUCUUCUUGGACAGCCAUGCCCUCAGAUGUCUGUGCCAGAAGUUAUUCGAGGAACCAAGUUCCAUACCCUGUUUGAGAAAAUGUAAAAUUUUCCUCAUUUUUGCACCAACUUUUGCCUAUAACUCGGUCGGUAUCCAACGGAUCGCCAAACUUUAACCUGUGGUCGAUAGAUGGCAACAAUGGCUACAUUUUCUUCUUGGACAGCCAUGCCCUUAGAUGUCUGUGCCAGAAGUUAUUCGAGGAACCAAGUUCCUUACCCUGUUUGAGAAAAUGUAAAAUUUUCCUCAUUUUUGAGCAAUGUAGCAAAAAUAUUAAAUGUGAUAUAUUUUGAUGGGAAUUUGUUGCAAUAAGUUUCUUUUCACUUAAAUAGUGCUUUAAAU